This 529-nucleotide long non-coding RNA is filed under the name Actinidia chinensis (golden kiwifruit). Its description in RNAcentral is "long non-coding RNA (ACHI_LNC003724)". Lineage: Eukaryota; Viridiplantae; Streptophyta; Magnoliopsida; Ericales; Actinidiaceae. The record is from RNAcentral.
UGAGGUAAUUGUUUAUUAGUGGCAACUACUUUCUGAUUCUCAUCUUUAGCCUUGUUUUCCCCCUUACAUAAGUACUUUUCUGGUAGAAAGAUUUCAUCAUCAACUCAACAAAGUUCCUUAACAAAGAAUCCGAGUGUGGACGUCACCCAGGCUUAUCAUGUUGGUUGCUUUCCAGAGGAAGCAUAGUCUCUCUCAUCCAUUUAUUUAGUUGUAUUCAGGUAUCCUUGCAGCUGAAUAAAUACAGUCGAACUUUUUUAUAUUUCUCUUUCACAGGCAGCAGAUUAUAUUUUCAGUUAUAAUCAUUGUCUGAGAAUAUCCUGUAAUCUUAUGUAGGAUUGUGUUAUUACUUUUUUCGGUUCAGCCGGAAAUGAGAGAGGGGGACUCUCUCUCUCUCUCUCUCUCUCUCAUUUUAUUUUAUUUUAUUUUAUUUUGUUAUGGGUCAUUUAGAAUGCUAAAGUCAAGAUCUUUGUUGUAAUAUUGAGCCUGAAGCCAUACAAGUUGCUAAUAGAAAACUUCUGGUUUCUGUUUC